This 203-nucleotide ribosomal RNA is filed under the name uncultured bacterium. RNAcentral describes it as "partial 16S ribosomal RNA". It matches the Rfam family "Bacterial small subunit ribosomal RNA", at positions 1289 to 1500 of the family's 1533-position model. The record is from RNAcentral.
CAGUUCGGAUCGAGUCUGNAACCCGACUCCGUGAAGCUGGAUUCGCUAGUAAUCGCGCAUCAGCCAUGGCGCGGUGAAUACGUUCCCGGGCCUUGUACACACCGCCCGUCAAGCCAUGGGAGCCGGGGGUGCUUGAAGUGCGUCGCCGCAAGGCGCGCCCUAGAGCAAAACCGGUGACUGGGGCUAAGUCGUAACAAGGUAAC